Molecule: transfer RNA, 65 nt
Filed under: Tuxedo susansolomonae
Lineage: Eukaryota; Metazoa; Arthropoda; Insecta; Hemiptera; Miridae
Also listed under: 1 other name
Description: tRNA-Leu
Source: RNAcentral
UCUAACGUGGCAGAAUAGUGCUAUGAACUUAAACUUCAUCCAUGGGGCCCCUUCCCCCGUUAGAA